GGGAGGCAGCAGUGGGGAAUAUUGCACAAUGGGCGAAAGCCUGAUGCAGCGACGCCGCGUGGGGGAUGACGGUCUUCGGAUUGUAAACCCCUUUCAGUAGGGACGAAGCGCAAGUGACGGUACCUGCAGAAGAAGCACCGGCUAACUACGUGCCAGCAGCCGCGGUAAUACGUAGGGUGCGAGCGUUGUCCGGAAUUACUGGGCGUAAAGAGCUCGUAGGCGGUUUGUCACGUCGUCUGUGAAAUCCCUCGGCUUAACCGGGGGCGUGCAGGCGAUACGGGCAGACUUGAGUACUACAGGGGAGACUGGAAUUCCUGGUGUAGCGGUGAAAUGCGCAGAUAUCAGGAGGAACACCGGUGGCGAAGGCGGGUCUCUGGGUAGUAACUGACGCUGAGGAGCGAAAGCAUGGGUAGCGAACAGGAUUAGAUACCCUGGUAGUCCAUGCCGUAAACGGUGGGCGCUAGGUGUGGGGUCCUUCCACGGACUCCGUGCCGUAGCUAACGCAUUAAGCGCCCCGCCUGGGGAGUACGGCCGCAAGGCUAAAACUCAAA
RNAcentral lists this ribosomal RNA (551 nucleotides) under Dietzia maris. RNAcentral describes it as "bacterial SSU rRNA". It matches the Rfam family "Bacterial small subunit ribosomal RNA", at positions 343 to 905 of the family's 1533-position model. The record is from RNAcentral. Lineage: Bacteria; Bacillati; Actinomycetota; Actinomycetes; Mycobacteriales; Dietziaceae.